This 497-nucleotide ribosomal RNA is filed under the name uncultured bacterium. RNAcentral describes it as "partial 16S ribosomal RNA". It matches the Rfam family "Bacterial small subunit ribosomal RNA", at positions 28 to 507 of the family's 1533-position model. The record is from RNAcentral.
GAUGAACGCUGGCGGCGUGCCUAAUACAUGCAAGUCGAGCGAACGGACGAGAAGCUUGCUUCUCUGAUGUUAGCGGCGGACGGGUGAGUAACACGUGGAUAACCUACCUAUAAGACUGGGAUAACUUCGGGAAACCGUAGCUAAUACCGGAUAAUAUUUUGAACCGCAUGGUUCAAAAGUGAAAGACGGUCUUGCUGUCACUUAUAGAUGGAUCCGCGCUGCAUUAGCUAGUUGGUAAGGUAACGGCUUACCAAGGCAACGAUGCAUAGCCGACCUGAGAGGGUGAUCGGCCACACUGGAACUGAGACACGGUCCAGACUCCUACGGGAGGCAGCAGUAGGGAAUCUUCCGCAAAGGGCGAAAGUCUAACGGAGCAACGCCGCGUGAGUGAUGAAGGUCUUCGGAUCGUAAAACUCUGUUAUUAGGGAAGAACAUAUGUGUAAGUAACUGUGCACAUCUUGACGGUACCUAAUCAGAAAGCCACGGCUAACUACGUG